UCCACACCUCCUCAAUUGUUGCAAUAAACUGAGCGACAGCCCCAGCCCUGCCACUGAGCUCAAGGCAAGCUGCUGAACACUUCCCACUGCAAAACUCCAUAUACUAAUAAACUUUCAAUAAGGCUGAAGAAAAGAAGAAAAGCCAAAGCAGGACUACACUACACAGCACAACAGACAUGGAUCUUGCCAACAAUAGAGGCCUCAACCUCAUGCUCAAUUUCUUGCUGAUUGUGAUGAUGCUCCUGCUAUUGUUCAUUUUGGUAAAGCUCUUGUAAGAUCCGUCCUCUAUACUGUUCUUGGAAAAAGAACAACUCCAGAGAUAAUAAUGACAAAUGGAAAGAACUGCAAUUCCUUUAUCCCUCAUGGGACAUAAAUACUACAUUUUCCAUUCUGAAUACAACUUGCUUUUAUCACACACUAACUUGAGAGAGAUGUACAUAAUUUCAAGUGAUUGAAAGAGGAAAAUGGUUUUCACAAAGCAACUAGUUACUUUUAACACAUUUGCUGGACUUCUUGAAGCAAUACAUAUUUAGGAUAAUCUUAUGCUGUAUACUCAUAUAUACAUAUAUAUUCUGUCUUGUAUCAUCUAAAACAGUAUGGGAUCCACUUGCCAGAUGCUAUUAUGAAUAGUGUGCUAGGACAUAAAAUAUAUUUACUACUAGCACAGAUUGCUAUUAUAUAUAUAAUAAGAAUCUUUUAGGGAUCAUGCAUAACGAUCUCUAAAAGUAUAUAUGGUACAGGUAUGGAAUCAGUAAUGGACCUUUCUGUAAUUUGGAUCUUUAUAGUCUACUAUAAAAUCAUGUAAACAUUAAAUAAACCCAAUAGGUUGGUUUAGCUUCUAAUAAGGAUUAAUUAUAUCUUAGUUUGGAUCAAGUACAAGGUACUGUUUUAUUAUUACAGAGAAAAACCUUGAUUAUUUGGAUAAAAUGGAGAUUGUGGGAGGCACCAUUUCUGUAAUUCAGAGCUUUCUGAAUAAUGGGUUUCCGGAUAAUGGAUCCCAUACCUGCAUAUAUCGAAUUAUGUGAAAUUAGAAUAUUGGAAGUCACUUGGUUUCAUGACCAUAGAAAGGCACACGCCAAUUGCUUUUAAACAGGUCAUGGAACCAAAAGUAUAUUAGAAGUCCUGUCCAGUAGAAUUGGUAGUAAAUUGUAGAAUAUUCCAUUAAACCUGUAGCCGGCAUAUUGUCCUCUUGAGAAGUAGCCAUGGCAGCAUAUGCACAAAUGAUAAAAAAAUGCCCCUUUGCUUGAUACAAAUCCAAGUCUAAUUGUCCUAAAUACAGCUUCUUCAAGACACGUUUCAGUGAUAAUUUACUGCAGUUGUACACCAGCUCUGUUGCAUACCACAAUCACUUUAGCCUCGCACCCAGUUACCUGUAAAAUGAGUCUUUAAGCACUUUUACACAAGGUUUUUUUUCCAAGGUAUUAUUCAAUUUUAUGUAAAGGAAUGCACACAGCAACUGCAUUAUUUAUUGGUCUCGAGGAGGAUUCUUCAUUUUAUCUAAAUGCCCAGCAAUGGCAGUUGUGGAUUAUCCUUGCCAUUAUUACUAAGUAAUGUACACUUUUAAAUAAAAAUGCGUAGAUUUUUGGUAGUCAAGAAAAAUCAAUCAUGGUUACAGACGGAAUGAUACAGAGACUGGGACAGACCAGUGGAUCUUCUGUUUUGCAAACGCACUGUUCCUGUAAAUAAAAAUCUUUUGUAUGUA
Xenopus laevis (African clawed frog) is the source of this 1702-nucleotide RNA transcript. It is a transcript of the gene named phospholamban L homeolog, with no coding region annotated. NCBI's taxonomy places the organism in Eukaryota, Metazoa, Chordata, Amphibia, Anura, Pipidae. The transcript is spliced from 2 exons. The record is from RefSeq and is a predicted model, not a curated record.